AUUGACCACGGGGGGCAGCAGUCGGGAAUAUUGCACAAUGGAGGAAACUCUGAUGCAGUGACACCGCGUAUAGGAAGAAGGUUUUCGGAUUGUAAACUAUUUUAGACAGGGAAGAAAAAAGACAGUACCUGUAGAAUAAGCUCCGGCUAACUACGUGCCAGCAGCCGCGGUAAUACGUAGGGAGCAAGCGUUAUCCGGAAUUAUUGGGUGUAAAGGGUGCGUAGACGGGACAGCAAGGUAGUUGUGAA
This 248-nucleotide ribosomal RNA is filed under the name uncultured bacterium. RNAcentral's name for it is "partial 16S ribosomal RNA". It matches the Rfam family "Bacterial small subunit ribosomal RNA", at positions 331 to 598 of the family's 1533-position model. The record is from RNAcentral.